UUGGAAACAACUGAAGAGAAGGAAAAGACUUGAGACUAUAGUCUGAUCAUAGGUGAAUAUGAAAAUGAAAUUCCUUCUGUUUGUUUGGCAGUAAAGCUAGUUGCUGUGCUUGUCUUCCCACAUCUCACAGGGCACUCAUUCCUGCUCCUGUGCCACAGAUUGCUGCCUUCUCAGCUGUGCCAGUGCAAUGGGAUCGCUCUGGAAAUUAGACGAUGUGAAAAAAGAAGUUGGAAGCUGUUUCAGGGGAUGUAUAGAGAAUCUGGAAAAGCGGUCAGUUUAAACAAGCGCUCUUUUACAACUGGCAAGGCAGCACAAAGGAGCUUACACAGAGAAAAUGAGCCCUAUUGCACCCAUUCUGACAUUCCCACUGUUAACCUCUGAGCCCCAGCUAGUGACCAGAGUCAGCGUUAAUGAGGAGGAGAUGGCAGAGCACUUCUCUUGUAGCUGUUCUUUCUCCUUGUAACGCUGCUGCUGACCUCCUGAGAGCACGUCUCUGAAUAAGCAAGAUAUUAGUGUGGGAGGACUCACCUCACAUAGCAGUUCUGGGGAUUGCCUCGUGCCUUCCCUCGGACAUCGGUGCUUCUGCUAAUGAGAAGGAAGCUGGUGGACUCAGCCGUGCUGCAACACAGAAAAGGGGAAAGCUGGAAAGAGAGAGGAAGAGAGAAAGAGGACAGUAUGGUGUUAUUUCCAAAAGUCCUAUUUGUGGUUUCCUGAAUGGAGAAAAUAUUAGUAAAAACCUCUGAUUUGUCUGAGUUACAUCUGCACAUGAAUGAAGAUGAUGUUAAGAAGAAAACAAGGACAGAGGUGGAGCAUAGGAUCUGCAUGAACUGUAAUGGCACAGAACUGGGUCAAAUAAUACUUUGACUUUUCCUGGGCACAACUUCUCAGUGGCAAGAUCUAUUUAACUGGAAUGAGUAAAAGAAACUAGAAUAACUUAAAAAAUCAGAAUGGCUCUCUCCUUCCAGAAAAACUUGGUCUCUUUAUAUCUGGAUAAUUGAU
Long non-coding RNA from Dromaius novaehollandiae (emu), 999 nucleotides. RefSeq lists it as uncharacterized. Lineage: Eukaryota; Metazoa; Chordata; Aves; Casuariiformes; Dromaiidae. The transcript has 5 exons. The record is from RefSeq and is a predicted model, not a curated record.